This 506-nucleotide ribosomal RNA is filed under the name uncultured bacterium. Its description in RNAcentral is "partial 16S ribosomal RNA". It matches the Rfam family "Bacterial small subunit ribosomal RNA", at positions 29 to 523 of the family's 1533-position model. The record is from RNAcentral.
AGUGAACGCUGGCGGUAGGCCUAACACAUGCAAGUCGAACGGCAGCACAGAGGAGCUUGCUCCUUGGGUGGCGAGUGGCGGACGGGUGAGGAAUACAUCGGAAUCUACUCUGUCGUGGGGGAUAACGUAGGGAAACUUACGCUAAUACCGCAUACGACCUACGGGUGAAAGCAGGGGAUCUUCGGACCUUGAGCGAUUGAAUGAGCCGAUGUCGGAUUAGCUAGUUGGCGGGGUAAAGGCCCACCAAGGCGACUAUCCGUAGCUGGUCUGAGAGGAUGAUCAGCCACACUGGAACUGAGACACGGUCCAGACUCCUACGGGAGGCAGCAGUGGGGAAUAUUGGACAAUGGGCGCAAGCCUGAUCCAGCCAUACCGCGUGGGUGAAGAAGGCCUUCGGGUUGUAAAGCCCUUUUGUUGGGAAAGAAAUCCAUCUGGUUAAUACCCGGGUGGGAUGACGGUACCCAAAGAAUAAGCACCGGCUAACUUCGUGCCAGCCGCCGCGGUAA